GCCUACGGGGGGCAGCAGUGAGGAAUAUUGGUCAAUGGGCUAAGGCCUGAACCAGCCAAGUCGCGUGAGGGAAGACGGUCCUAUGGAUUGUAAACCUCUUUUGUCGGGGAGCAACGAGGCCACGUGUGGCCGAAGUGAGAGUACCCGAAGAAAAAGCAUCGGCUAACUCCGUGCCAGCAGCCGCGGUAAUACGGAGGAUCCGAGCGUUAUCCGGAUUUAUUGGGUUUAAAGGGUGCGUAGGCGGUUUUUUAAGUUAGUGGUUAAACGUCGGGGCUUCACCUUGAUUUGCCAUUAAUACUGUAAGA
This 305-nucleotide ribosomal RNA is filed under the name uncultured bacterium. RNAcentral's name for it is "bacterial SSU rRNA". It matches the Rfam family "Bacterial small subunit ribosomal RNA", at positions 337 to 640 of the family's 1533-position model. The record is from RNAcentral.